AUACGUAGGUGGCAAGCGUUGUCCGGAUUUACUGGGCGUAAAGGGCGUGCAGGCGGUUCGUUAAGUUCGAGGUGAAAGCUCCCGGCUCAACUGGGAGAGGUCCUUGGAUACUGGCGGACUUGAGGGAGGCAGAGGAAAGUGGAAUUCCCGGUGUAGCGGUGAUAUACGUAGAUAUCUGGAGGAACAUCAGUGGCGAAGGCGACUUCCUGGAUCAAUACUGACGCUGAGGUGCGAAAGCGUGGGGAGCAAACAGGAGUAGAAACCCCGGUAGUCC
Molecule: ribosomal RNA, 274 nt
Filed under: uncultured bacterium
Lineage: Bacteria
Description: partial 16S ribosomal RNA
Rfam family: Bacterial small subunit ribosomal RNA
Source: RNAcentral